GGUUAAGCGACUAAGCGUACACGGUGGAUGCCCUGGCAGUCAGAGGCGAUGAAGGACGUGCUAAUCUGCGAAAAGCGUCGGUAAGGUGAUAUGAACCGUUAUAACCGGCGAUGUCCGAAUGGGGAAACCCAGUGUGUUUCGACACACUAUCAUUAACUGAAUCCAUAGGUUAAUGAGGCGAACCGGGGGAACUGAAACAUCUAAGUACCCCGAGGAAAAGAAAUCAACCGAGAUUCCCCCAGUAGCGGCGAGCGAACGGGGAGCAGCCCAGAGCCUGAAUCAGUGUGUGUGUUAGUGGAAGCGUCUGGAAAGGCGUGCGAUACAGGGUGACAGCCCCGUACACAAAAAUGCACAUAUUGUGAGCUCGAUGAGUAGGGCGGGACACGUGGUAUCCUGUCUGAAUAUGGGGGGACCAUCCUCCAAGGCUAAAUACUCCUGACUGACCGAUAGUGAACCAGUACCGUGAGGGAAAGGCGAAAAGAACCCCGGCGAGGGGAGUGAAAAAGAACCUGAAACCGUGUACGUACAAGCAGUGGGAGCCUCUUUAUGGGGUGACUGCGUACCUUUUGUAUAAUGGGUCAGCGACUUAUAUUCUGUAGCAAGGUUAACCGAAUAGGGGAGCCGGAGGGAAACCGAGUCUUAACUGGGCGUUAAGUUGCAGGGUAUAGACCCGAAACCCGGUGAUCUAGCCAUGGGCAGGUUGAAGGUUGGGUAACACUAACUGGAGGACCGAACCGACUAAUGUUGAAAAAUUAGCGGAUGACUUGUGGCUGGGGGUGAAAGGCCAAUCAAACCGGGAGAUAGCUGGUUCUCCCCGAAAGCUAUUUAGGUAGC
RNAcentral lists this ribosomal RNA (834 nucleotides) under Escherichia albertii. Its description in RNAcentral is "partial 23S ribosomal RNA". It matches the Rfam family "Bacterial large subunit ribosomal RNA", at positions 1 to 878 of the family's 2925-position model. The record is from RNAcentral. Lineage: Bacteria; Pseudomonadati; Pseudomonadota; Gammaproteobacteria; Enterobacterales; Enterobacteriaceae.